GCCAUACCAAGAUAUAAAAGAUAUUGUGAACAUGGGGUUUCGAAUUUUUGUAUCUCAAAAGAAGAAAGGAUCUAAAAAAGAGCUCAAGUGGAUGGUUGUUGAGGGGCCCAAACAGUUGGAUGGUGUCAUGUGCGGAUAUUUUGUCAUGCGAUACAUGCGAGACAUAAUUGCAAAUAGAAGUCUCUUAACAUCUCAG
Long non-coding RNA from Vitis vinifera (wine grape), 196 nucleotides. RefSeq lists it as uncharacterized. The record is from RefSeq and is a predicted model, not a curated record. The transcript is spliced from 3 exons. NCBI's taxonomy places the organism in Eukaryota, Viridiplantae, Streptophyta, Magnoliopsida, Vitales, Vitaceae.